Non-coding RNA from Ornithorhynchus anatinus (platypus), 72 nucleotides. The record is from Rfam. Lineage: Eukaryota; Metazoa; Chordata; Mammalia; Monotremata; Ornithorhynchidae.
AGCAGUGUGGCCUAGUGGAAAGAGCAUGAGCCUGAGAGUCAAAGGACCUGGGUUCUAAUCCCAGCUCUGCUA